UUAUUUGAGAGUUUGAUCCUGGCUCAGGAUGAACGCUGGCGGCGUGCCUAACACAUGCAAGUUGAGCGAUUUACUUCGGUAAAGAGCGGCGGACGGGUGAGUAACGCGUGGGUAACCUACCCUGUACACACGGAUAACAUACCGAAAGGUAUGCUAAUACGGGAUAAUAUAUUUGAGAGGCAUCUCUUAAAUAUCAAAGGUGAGCCAGUACAGGAUGGACCCGCGUCUGAUUAGCUAGUUGGUAAGGUAACGGCUUACCAAGGC
RNAcentral lists this ribosomal RNA (264 nucleotides) under Clostridioides difficile. Its description in RNAcentral is "partial 16S ribosomal RNA". It matches the Rfam family "Bacterial small subunit ribosomal RNA", at positions 1 to 274 of the family's 1533-position model. The record is from RNAcentral. Lineage: Bacteria; Bacillati; Bacillota; Clostridia; Peptostreptococcales; Peptostreptococcaceae.